CCCAGUGAGGCCUACAGUCUGAGCAGACAGCAUGGCCUGCCAUUGGCAGUGAACACCAUGUCUGCAGGAGGUGGCCGGGCCUUUGCUUGGCAGGUGUUCCCCCCCAUGCCCACUUGCCGGGUCUAUGGCACAGUGGCACACCAAGAUGAGCACCUGCUGGUGUUGGGGGGUUGUGGCCGGGCUGGACUGCCCCUGGACACUGCUGAGACACUGGACAUGGCCUCGCACACAUGGCUGGCACUGGCACCCCUGCCCACUGCCCGGGCUGGCGCAGCUGCGGUAGUUCUGGGCAAGCAGGUGCUAGUGGUGGGUGGUGUGGAUGAGGUCCAGAGCCCAGUAGCUGCUGUAGAGGCCUUCCUGAUGGAUGAGGGCCGCUGGGAGCGUCGGGCCACCCUCCCUCAAGCAGCCAUGGGGGUUGCAACUGUGGAGAGAGGUGAGUGGCCUCCCAAGGAAGGCACUUCAGAUGGUAUGGUGUAUGCUCUGGGGGGAAUGGGCCCUGACACGGCCCCCCAGGCCCAGGUACGUGUGUAUGAGCCCCGUCGGGACUGCUGGCUUUCACUACCCUCCAUGCCCACACCCUGCUACGGGGCCUCCACCUUCCUGCACGGGAACAAGAUCUAUGUCCUGGGGGGCCGCCAGGGCAAGCUCCCGGUGACUGCUUUUGAAGCCUUUGAUCUGGAGGCCCGUACAUGGACCCGGCAUCCAAGCCUACCCAGCCGUCGGGCCUUUGCUGGCUGCGCCAUGGCUGAAGGCAGCGUCUUUAGCCUGGGUGGCCUGCAGCAGCCUGGGCCCCACAACUUCUACUCUCGCCCACACUUUGUCAACACUGUGGAGAUGUUUGACCUGGAGCAUG
This 853-nucleotide small RNA is filed under the name Pongo abelii (Sumatran orangutan). RNAcentral's name for it is "processed transcript". Lineage: Eukaryota; Metazoa; Chordata; Mammalia; Primates; Hominidae. The record is from RNAcentral.